CCCUUAGAUGUUCUGGGCUGCACGCGCGCGACAAUGACGUUUGCAACGAGAUUGCGAGGCCGUCAGGUCGAGCUGAUCUUGCAAGCUGCGUCGUGAUAGGGACAGUCGAUUGCAAUUAUUCGACUCGAACGAGGAAUUCCUUGUAAUCGCGCAUCAUCAGUGCGCGCUGAAUACGUCCCUGCCCUUUGUACACACCGCCCGUCGCACCUACCGAUUGGAUGGUCCGGUGAAGCCUCGGGAUUGUGGUUCUUGCCGCUUUAUUGUGGCGUGACCGCGAGAACUUGUCUAAACCUUAUCAUCUAGAGGAAGGUGAAGUCGUAACA
This 323-nucleotide ribosomal RNA is filed under the name uncultured eukaryote. RNAcentral's name for it is "partial 18S ribosomal RNA". It matches the Rfam family "Eukaryotic small subunit ribosomal RNA", at positions 1470 to 1796 of the family's 1831-position model. The record is from RNAcentral.